GCUUUCCUGUGGCUCCGUUGGUAGAGCAUUGAGCUAACAACGCAAAGGUUGUGGGUUCAAAUUCCAGGGAAAGCA
This 75-nucleotide transfer RNA is filed under the name Danionella cerebrum. Its description in RNAcentral is "tRNA-Val". It matches the Rfam family "tRNA". Rfam says of the family: Transfer RNA (tRNA) molecules are approximately 80 nucleotides in length. Lineage: Eukaryota; Metazoa; Chordata; Actinopteri; Cypriniformes; Danionidae. The record is from RNAcentral.